UUUGCAGCUAGAGUUUUGGAUUAACAGACCGCAUCUAGUUCUUUCUUCCCCCCAAGUCCCAUUUUCCUUCUCCUGUUCUUCCGUCCCAGCCCCCUCAGACCUUCAGCACUCGGAUUAGAUUUUUGUUAUGCCAGCCAGCAAUGAACAGAGGACCCUUGGCUUUGGCUACAUCUCUAUGUAUUUGCUGAAGACCCCUCAUCAUUGCCUCUGCUAAGAAUGGAAACAAAUCUCUCAGAUGUUGGAUUUCCCAUGAGAGGGAAAUUCUCUGUCUGACCAGCACUGAAUCUUACCUCUCAAAUUGCACAGAGGAUAACUACAGUUCGUAGCAUCAUGAGAAGAAGACGUUUCAGUUUCAACUUCAGUUGGUGCCAAGAGUUGCUGCUGCUGUUGUACAUUAUUCAGGACCUAGUUGUGUCGGCGGGAGAGGAGAUCCCAUCCCCCUGCCCCUCUGCACUGCUUUGGCACCGCAAACCGCCGCCUGAGGCAAACCCAGAACGUCCUUGUUAACCAGCUCCUUCGGCUCUAGCGCACAGCAUCCACCGCAGCUGCUCGCGUAAGUGCCUGGGGUGGCCACGGUGGCAAGAUCGCGGUUGGCUGCCGGUGCCCUACGUCCGUCGGCGGCCAACCGCGCACGCUGGCGAAGAGCGC
Molecule: long non-coding RNA, 648 nt
Filed under: Struthio camelus australis
Lineage: Eukaryota; Metazoa; Chordata; Aves; Struthioniformes; Struthionidae
Description: lncRNA (ENSSCUG00000002798.1)
Source: RNAcentral